This 253-nucleotide ribosomal RNA is filed under the name uncultured bacterium. RNAcentral's name for it is "partial 16S ribosomal RNA". It matches the Rfam family "Bacterial small subunit ribosomal RNA", at positions 524 to 776 of the family's 1533-position model. The record is from RNAcentral.
UACAGAGGGUGCGAGCGUUAAUCGGAAUUACUGGGCGUAAAGCGUGCGUAGACGGUUAUUUAAGUCGGGUGUGAAAGCCCCGGGCUCAACCUGGGAAUUGCAUUCGAGACUGAAUAGCUAGGGUACGGUAGAGGGAAGUGGAAUUUCCGGUGUAGCGGUGAAAUGCGUAGAUAUCGGAAGGAACAUCAGUGGCGAAGGCGGCUCACUGGUCCAUUACUGACGCUGAGGUGCGAAAGCGUGGGGAGCAAACAGG